GCUCCCAUCGUCUAGCGGUCCAGGACGUCGCCCUCUCACGGCGAAAACUGGGGUUCGAUUCCCCAUGGGAGCGCCA
Molecule: transfer RNA, 76 nt
Filed under: Bradyrhizobium sp.
Lineage: Bacteria; Pseudomonadati; Pseudomonadota; Alphaproteobacteria; Hyphomicrobiales; Nitrobacteraceae
Also listed under: 4 other names
Description: tRNA-Glu
Rfam family: tRNA
About the family: Transfer RNA (tRNA) molecules are approximately 80 nucleotides in length. Their secondary structure includes four short double-helical elements and three loops (D, anti-codon, and T loops).
Source: RNAcentral